GUUUAAUUAGUUUAUUAGCGAAAAUUAUAAAUUGUGGAUUUAUAGACGAAUUUAUUUCAUUAGACA
This 66-nucleotide transfer RNA is filed under the name Dermacentor silvarum. RNAcentral's name for it is "tRNA-His". Lineage: Eukaryota; Metazoa; Arthropoda; Arachnida; Ixodida; Ixodidae. The record is from RNAcentral.